AGAGUUUGAUCCUGGCUCAGAUUGAACGCUGGCGGCAUGCCUUACACAUGCAAGUCGAACGGCAGCACGGACUUCGGUCUGGUGGCGAGUGGCGAACGGGUGAGUAAUAUAUCGGAACAUACCCUAGAGUGGGGGAUAACGUAGCGAAAGUUACGCUAAUACCGCAUACGAACUAAGGUUGAAAGUGGGGGAUCGCAAGACCUCAUGCUCAUGGAGUGGCCGAUAUCUGAUUAGCUAGUUGGUGAGGUAAAGGCUCACCAAGGCGACAAUCAGUAGCUGUUUUGAGAAAAAACCAGCCCCACUGGAAUUGAGACACGGUCCAACUCCUACGGGGGGAACAUGGGGAAUUUUGGACA
Molecule: ribosomal RNA, 356 nt
Filed under: uncultured bacterium
Lineage: Bacteria
Description: bacterial SSU rRNA
Rfam family: Bacterial small subunit ribosomal RNA
Source: RNAcentral